Molecule: ribosomal RNA, 496 nt
Filed under: uncultured bacterium
Lineage: Bacteria
Description: partial 16S ribosomal RNA
Rfam family: Bacterial small subunit ribosomal RNA
Source: RNAcentral
GAUGAACGCUGGCGGCGUGCCUAAUACAUGCAAGUCGAGCGAACGGACGAGAAGCUUGCUUCUCUGAUGUUAGCGGCGGACGGGUGAGUAACACGUGGAUAACCUACCUAUAAGACUGGGAUAACUUCGGGAAACCGUAGCUAAUACCGGAUAAUAUUUUGAACCGCAUGGUUCAAAAGUGAAAGACGGUCUUGCUGUCACUUAUAGAUGGAUCCGCGCUGCAUUAGCUAGUUGGUAAGGUAACGGCUUACCAAGGCAACGAUGCAUAGCCGACCUGAGAGGGUGAUCGGCCACACUGGAACUGAGACACGGUCCAGACUCCUACGGGAGGCAGCAGUAGGGAAUCUUCCGCAAUGGGCGAAAGCCUGACGGAGCAACGCCGCGUGAGUGAUGAAGGUCUUCGGAUCGUAAAACUCUGUUAUUAGGGAAGAACAUAUGUGUAAGUAACUGUGCACAUCUGGACGGUACCUAAUCAGAAAGCCACGGCUAACUACGG